Molecule: ribosomal RNA, 710 nt
Filed under: Entoloma sericellum
Lineage: Eukaryota; Fungi; Basidiomycota; Agaricomycetes; Agaricales; Entolomataceae
Description: eukaryotic LSU rRNA
Rfam family: 5.8S ribosomal RNA (bases 247-400)
Source: RNAcentral
UUGAAUAAACUUGGUUGGGUUGUNUUGCUGGCUUUUCGGAGCAUGUGCACGCCUACUCCAAUUUUUAAAACCCCUUGUGCACCUUGUGUAGGCCUUGGAUAACUCUCGAGGAUCAUUACCUCGGCCAGAGAAUUGCUGUGCGUAAAGUCGGCUAUUCUUGCAUCCUGGGCCUAUGUUUUCACACACACUAUUAGAAUGUAUUAGAAUGUUAUACAACGGGCCAUUUGAGCCUUUGGAAAUAAAUACAACUUUCAACAACGGAUCUCUUGGCUCUCGCAUCGAUGAAGAACGCAGCGAAAUGCGAUAAGUAAUGUGAAUUGCAGAAUUCAGUGAAUCAUCGAAUCUUUGAACGCACCUUGCGCACCUUGGUAUUCCGAGGAGCAUGCCUGUUUGAGUGUCAUGAAAUUCUCAACCUUAUGUGCUUUUUCUACAAAAGAGUUCAUAAGGCUUGGAUUUGUGGGAGCUGCCGGCUUUUUUAAAGUUGGCUCUUCUUAAAUACAUUAGCAAGAUCGUCAUUGGUCACCUUUGAUAUGAUAAUUAUCUAUGUCAUUGGUGAACAAGCUUCCUCAAUAAGGGAGAAGAAGGGUCUAGCUUCUAACGGUCUCCUUUGGCGAGACAGUAUUCCUGACUAUUUGACCUCAAAUCAGGUAGGACUACCCGCUGAACUUAAGCAUAUCAAUAAGCGGAGGAAAAGAAACUAACAAGGAUUC